UGGGGAAUAUUGCACAAUGGGGGAAACCCUGAUGCAGCGACGCCGCGUGAGCGAAGAAGGUUUUCGAAUCGUAAAGCUCUGUCCUAUGAGAAGAUAAUGACGGUAUCAUAGGAGGAAGCCCCGGCUAAAUACGUGCCAGCAGCCGCGGUAAUACGUAGGGGGCUAGCGUUAUCCGGAUUUACUGGGCGUAAAGGGUGCGUAGGUGGUCUUUCAAGUCGGUGGUUAAAGGCUACGGCUCAACCGUAGUUAGCCUCCGAAACUGGAAGACUUGAGUGCAGGAGAGGAAAGUGGAAUUCCCAGUGUAGCGGUGAAAUGCGUAGAUAUUGGGAGGAACACCAGUAGCGAAGGCGGCUUUUUGGCCUGCAACUGACACUGAGGCGCGAAAGCGUGGGGAGCAAACAGG
RNAcentral lists this ribosomal RNA (403 nucleotides) under Verrucomicrobiota bacterium. RNAcentral's name for it is "Verrucomicrobia bacterium partial 16S ribosomal RNA". It matches the Rfam family "Bacterial small subunit ribosomal RNA", at positions 355 to 776 of the family's 1533-position model. The record is from RNAcentral. Lineage: Bacteria; Pseudomonadati; Verrucomicrobiota.